RNAcentral lists this long non-coding RNA (3387 nucleotides) under Triticum aestivum (bread wheat). RNAcentral describes it as "long non-coding RNA (TAES_LNC002123)". The record is from RNAcentral. Lineage: Eukaryota; Viridiplantae; Streptophyta; Magnoliopsida; Poales; Poaceae.
UUUUUUUUUUUUUGAGUCUGGGUGAAACCAGUACGUAGAACAAGUGACUCAGCAGUCGCGCUAACGGGCCGGCCCUUAUGCGCGGACCAUUCAGGCGAGACGAAUGAUAUCCUCGCUGAAAGCGAGAUAUAGUACUCGCGUCGCCGCAUGCCCGCAUCGCCAUCGGAAGCAACCACCGCAUGAUCCGGCGUGGUUGCCGUUCUCUGCAGUAAGCCAACUGUUGCAUGCACAGUUCCGCCCAUCGUCUCUUUGUGAUCAGUGAUAACAGAUUAUUAUUUUCAUUUCUUAAUUUGUACUCCCUCUAAACAAAUGUAAGAGUGUUUAGAUAACUAAAGUAAUGAUCUAAACGCUCUUAUAUUUCUUUACAGAGGGAGUAUCUGAUUUGGAGAACAAUAGGUAAAUAAUUGCUUGGUUAAUUUUUUUUAGCUAGGCUAAUUUAUUCGUGCAAGUAACCCCGCAAAAAAUAUAUAUUCGUGCAAGUAAAGGAAGACGUCAUCAUUUCUCUUUCAAAAUGGGGUGAUCAUAGGGUUAUAUUAUAAUUCUCCCUGUUCUUUCCAUGUAGCUAAAUUAUUGGAGAUAUUGCUGCUACAAAGAAGAAUAAUUUCAUAGUUUUGCUAUCAAAUUUUUAUGUCUUACAUCUUUGUGCAAAAAUAAAAAUAAAAAUACUCCACAUACCCAUAUCGAAAAUCCUGACCCCUCCCCCUCCACCCAAUUAUAUGCAUGCGGCUGACCAAUUUGGAAUGUUGCACAAAUCUUUGCUAUCCGCAUACAACUCCGCAAACAUAUGAGAGAUACAAUUUGUCACUUGCCCUCUUUAAGGCUCAACGCAUCGUCAUCCAGACAUAUGUCCGCGGACCUAUGGGAGCUGAAAUUUGACAUUUGCGCUUGAAGAUUACUAAUGACACCCAUUUUACCGUCAAUGUCCAUUGAUGCCAUAGCACAAAAACGGUUGUUCCUAUCGGCUCCGGCGUCGCUCAUGAUUGGGAGGCUUGAGAGGCGACCAUGUAAGUCUGUUUAGUGCUCGAUUUCAGGAGCGAAACUUCAAAACAACAAAAUAAGGCCACAAAGCACGGGUGUAUAAAAUACAAGUCCUCCUAAAAUAGAAAACUAGGAAUUCUAGAUACCCUUGAGGCAAAGCGAAACCAAUGGCAAUCACAAAGUUUAAUGUCUUCGUGCAGGUUUAACCUUGUCGAUAACAACCGGAAAGUCUUCGGGCAGGCGGCCCUAAGGAGCAGCGCCCUGGAGCCGUAGUUGUUGCCAUUGAACCCUCGAAUAGGAAUUACAAUUGGAUUAUUUGGUCUAAUGGUUAUAGUCAUGAUCAUUCUAAUAUGGGGACAAACGAUAGUCCAAAAGGCAAGAUUGAACAAAGUUAAGGAGUACUAUUUUCCUCAGCACUGAGGUGCUUUUGUUUUAUAGGAUGAAACUAGAGAAAGGUCUUUCUUUCAGUGUAUUUUCAGAAGUUGAACUCAUACAUGCAACCGACAACUUUGACAAUAGCAGAAUACUUGGAAAAGGGGGGCAUGGGACGGUCUAUAAAGGGAUAACAAAUAGUAACAUGCAUGUUGCAAUUAAAAGAUGUGGAUUAGUUGACGAGAGGCAAAAGGAAUUUGGGCAAGAGAUGCUCAUUUUGUCCCAAUUCAAUCACAAGAAUAUCGUUAAGCUUUUGGGUUGCUGCCUUGAGGUGGAAGUUCCAAGUCUAGUAUAUGAUAUGAGUUUGUUCAAAGUGGUAUCCUAUUUGAGCUUAUUCAUGUCAAGAACCAAGCGCUGCAAAUCUCCUUCAGGACCCUCUUAAGAAUUGCUCAUGAAGCAAACGAAAAGACUCAGCUUCCUGCAUUCCUAUGCAUCUCCCCCAAUAAUUCAUGGCGAUGUGAUCUCCCCCAAUAAUUCAUGGCGAUGUGAACACUUCCAACAUCUUUCUUGAUGAUAACUACAUGGCCAAAGUGUCGGACUUUGGAGCCUCCAUACUAGCCCCAUCUGACAAAGAGCAGUUUGUCACUAUGGUUCAGGGUAAUUGUGGAUAUCUUGAUCCUGAAUACAUGCAAGUUAAUCGACAAAAGGAUUAUUGUCGGUGACUUUCCUAUCCGCUACAAAAGAGAACAAUCUAUAUGCAAUGCUGGCGAGCCACGUGAAAGGCCAAGAAAGAAAGCAUGGCAUUGUUGAGAGGAAUUGCGGACCUAGCUAAGAAAUGCCUAGAUAUGUGUGAUGGCCUUCCAUGAAAGAGGACGCCAAUGAGCUCAAUAGAUUGAGGAAGCUUUCAAUACAUCCUUGAGCUCAGUUGGACGUGGAGACGGAUGCAGAGAGCCAGUGGUCAUGAAAUAGAGUCCAGCGGGUAUGCUAUUGGUGAAAGUGACAACCAACAUAUAAGCCCAAGAGGUAACAUAUACAGAGAGGUUAUUUCAUCAGCACAUGCAUGUUGGCAAGAUGAAAACAGCGUGUGCCGUCAGCUGUAAUGGCAAGAUGAAAACAGAUCCUGAAGCUCAGUGUUAACAGUAGUGACAGAACUACAAUCAAUCCGAGGGAUGAGGUCCUAAGUUGUACAGUACAAUCCCCAGGGUAGGGCAUACGGUAGACAUUACCAGAAUGAGCAACGACCUAGAUUUUCAGACUAGAUUUCGAGAAGAAUUCGAGAUCAUGCUCACUUGCUCGCUUGGUAACUAAGGGAUUGAGGGGCCAGGAAGAAAUAUAUAGGGACCGUGGCCAAGAGAGCGCAAGAUAGAAUGAUCAGUCAAAAUCUGACUCUCCCCUAUUCGAGGCAAACUUCUAUGUGCAACAAGCAACCAGAAUGCGCCUACAUUGAUCAGAUCAGAAUGUAGGUUUCAGUAGAACAAAUACAGACAUGGUAAUGCAACUUUUCAUCAAUAACAAAAGACUUCAAAAUGCUGCUACAUGCAUCCGAAUUUCAGGCUUUGUUGAGCUAGGCCAAGUUUCAGUAUUGUUAGAUUGCGAGUGAACCAACCAGCAGGGUGUCAUCAUCAAAAGCAGAUAAGAGGAAUCCAUUGGCAUCAUGACAAUCAGAUCUUAUACAGUAGGAACAUCUUUGAUAUCAAGCUAAGGAGAAUCUGAAAGCAAUCUGAGCACGCCUAAUGUCAAGGAGACCACACACUAGAGCAAAACUCACCAAAGGCUGGAGCUCAGGUAUAUUGUGAACCAAUCAACUAAAAAGCGGUAUGCAAUCAUCAUCAAAAAGCAGCUAAAAAGGAAUCCACUGGCAACUCAGCAUUCAUAACUCGGAUAAAAACUCGGGAGAAACUAAAAGUUUCCAACUGCAGCAAAUACAGAAGGCCUAGGAGAGGGAGCAAAACAGGGCCGUCAUAGAAAACCAUGACCACAUAGCAAUUCAGGUCAAGUAACGCUUCGCUAUUGGUGGGGCGGAGUCUAUGAGAUCAG